Molecule: long non-coding RNA, 1014 nt
Filed under: Rattus norvegicus (Norway rat)
Lineage: Eukaryota; Metazoa; Chordata; Mammalia; Rodentia; Muridae
Description: long non-coding RNA NONRATT010593
Source: RNAcentral
AAAUCCCCAACCCCUGUAAUAAAAUCUUAAGAACUCUGUGUGAAAUAUAUCUAGUUCCCUGAAACUAUAAACAGAAUUAGAAUUGUUUCUAAAACUGUGUUACAGAAGCUCGAGGCAAAAGGGAUAGAGAAAAGGACACCAGAGAAGAGCGAGAGUCUGAACAUGACCACAGGGAUGACAGAGAACCGCGAGACAGUCGGGACCGGAGAGACACUAGAGACCGCAGGGAACUUAGAGACUCCAGAGACAUGCGGGACUCCAGAGAGAUAAGGGAUUAUAGCAGAGACACCAAGGAGAGCCGUGAUCCCAGAGAUUCCCGGUCAGCUCGGGAUGUCCAUGACUACAGGGACCGUGAAGCUCGGGAUGCUCAUGCUCGAGAUGUUCGGGAUGUCAGGGAUGCUCGAGAUGCUCGAGAUGUUCGGGAUGUCCGGGAUGUCAGGGAUGCUCGAGAUGUCCGGGAUGUUCGGGAUGCUCGAGAUGUCCGGGAUGCCCGGGAUGUCCGGGAUGUUCGGGAUGUCCGGGAUGUCCGGGACACCAGAGAUGCCCGGGAUGCCCGGGAUGCUCGAGAUGGUCAUCGAAAGGAGGAUGUAUACCAGGAAGAAGCCCGUAGUUAUGGCAGAAACCACCUGAGAGAAGAGAGUUCUAGAGUUGAACUAAGGAAUGACUCUAGAAAUGAGUCUCGAAGUGAAAUUAGAAAUGACCGCAUGGGCAGAAGUAGGGGGAGAGGUCCAGAACUGCCUGAAAAGGGAGGUCGAAGCACAAGAGGUUCCCAAAUGGAUAGCCACAGUAGUGGCAGCAACUACCAUGACAGCUGGGAAACUCGAAGUAGCUAUCCUGAAAGAGACAGAUACCCUGAGAGAGAUACCAGAGAUCAAGCAAGGGAUUCUUCCUUUGAGAGAAGGCAUGGAGAAAGAGACCGUCGGGAUAACAGAGAACGAGAUCAAAGACCAAGCUCACCUAUUCGCCAUCAGGGGAGGAGUGAGGAGCUUGAGCGAGAGGAAAGAAGAGAGGAAA